This 250-nucleotide ribosomal RNA is filed under the name uncultured bacterium. RNAcentral's name for it is "partial 16S ribosomal RNA". It matches the Rfam family "Bacterial small subunit ribosomal RNA", at positions 524 to 772 of the family's 1533-position model. The record is from RNAcentral.
UACAUAGGGGGCAAGCGUUGUCCGGAAUGACUGGGCGUAAAGGGUGUGUAGGCGGUUUUGUAAGUUGGAAGUGUAAUACCUAGAGCUUAACUCAGGUGCUGCUUCCAAAACUGUAAAACUUGAGUGUCGGAGAGGAAAAUGGAAUUCCUAGUGUAGCGGUGGAAUGCGUAGAUAUUAGGAGGAACACCAGAGGCGAAAGCGAUUUUCUGGACGAUAACUGACGCUGAGGCACGAAAGCGUGGGGAGCAAA